AGGAUCCCGUUGUAGACUGACAUCCGGACAGUUGAAGACCAGGAGAUCGGCUCAGGCUGGCAGCAAGAGCAAACAAAACUGGGCGCUACCUGCAGGGGGG
Molecule: non-coding RNA, 100 nt
Filed under: Mesodinium pulex
Lineage: Eukaryota; Ciliophora; Litostomatea; Cyclotrichida; Mesodiniidae
Source: RNAcentral